Long non-coding RNA from Equus caballus (horse), 2119 nucleotides. Lineage: Eukaryota; Metazoa; Chordata; Mammalia; Perissodactyla; Equidae. The record is from Ensembl.
GGAAAAACCGUAAGCUGCGACUCGCUGCUGCUCCAAGAAGGAACUGGUGCUGCUGGGUGAAGGGGACUGCUGGAGGGAGACUCACAGGAAUUGCAAGCAUCGAGGCAAACAGGAAGGAACAAGCCCUUUCUCCUCCUCCAGGCUCGAGGUCCACCCGUACCUCUGGUUGGCGGAGCCUCGCAGAGAGGCAGAGCGGAAAUGCGGUUUGCAGAGUCUUUGCUCCAGCAUCACAGAGCAGAGUAUCAAAGCGGGGGUUUGGAACUGAGAGACAAUAGCAAGCAUGUCUGGGGGCAUUUGCUCUUGUUUGUGUUAAUAUUUCAAUUUCCUCCCAUCCUUCUUUGCCUAAUUUUAUUUUUUGAGUAUAUAGAACAUUAAUGUGCUUCCCAAGAAUCAAAAAUAUACUGAAAGGUAUAUCCAGAGAAGCGUGCUCACUCCCUAUUGCUUAUUUUGCCACCUAGUUAAAGGAUUGGGAAACCAUUUUGAAAACUCUGGACUGGAUGAUUUUCAAGGGCGGAGAAUCCAUGCUCUCAAGCACAGACCCUUGGGCACGUGGAGGGCUCUGGGCAUAGGGGCAGGAGACAAUUGCGUUAAUAACCUGUGCAGAGAGCCCGAGGGGAUCAGUGCUAACUUGACUGCGUUCCUUUGGCUCUGAUCCUGGCAGAGAACUCCUGUCCUUCUAAGCGGGGAGGUGAGCCUCUCGGCAUGCUGGGACACUUGUCUGGACAACUCCCAGGAGGAGGGAACAAUCUGGACAAACCCUGAAGCAGCCGGCUGUCGUGGAUUCUGCCUGACUCAUCAGCUCAAAGGAAUGCCCAGGAGGCAGGGUGAUGUGGGGAACAGGAAACAGGCCCAAGCCCAACACAGCCACCAGCUAUGUGACCUGCUCAGGACAGUUCUCCUUUCUGGGCCUCAGUUUCCAUCUCUGCUACAGGAAUGUCUAAGGACCUUCCCACUCAGAACCCUGAUGGCUCUGAGAGGAAACAGAAUUGCCUUUUCUUUCGGAGGCUGAGGCAGGAAGGGGACCAUCUCCAACAGGUGGCCUCAUUCUGCUGGGCCAGUGACCAAGUGUGUUCUAGAAAUCUUUAGCUGUGAGAAGCCAGACUGUGAACUCCCCAAGAGCAGGGAUGAGGGCCUCCCACCUUUGGGUUCCUGCCCAGGUGUGGAGCCUGGCACCUAAAUCUUUGUCUAACUGAACAAAGGGACUCUAAAAGGACUUUUCCUUUUAGCUCUGACAUCCCAGAUCCCACUGUGAAAGGCACCAUCUUGGUUCCUGGAAGGGACUGAUCGUGACCACCUCGGUCAGUAGGGCUGUGAACUCUGCUUUCCAAAGAGUUUGAAAGAAAUUUGAAUUCUUUCUAAUCAGAGGGAGUUGGGACCAUGGGAUGGUGCUGAAGCUGGGUGACAAGGGACAAGAGUGCUAGUUCCUUGGGUCUGUCUGAGACCUCAGGCAUCUGAAGGCAUUAUAGCACCUCAUCUCCUUCUAGAACCAUUCCCACCUCCUGUCUGGAUGGGGAGGUGUGGAAUCCAGGAGAGGAGGGAGCGGACUUGGAGCUGAAAUGUGAGGUGAAGAAAGAGAGGUGGGGAUGGGAGGAAGGAAAGGAGGGCGAGAGAGGGAGAGAAGCGAAGGAAAAAGAUUUAUUUUAACAAUAGAUUUUUUCCUCUGGGAAUUUUCAAAGGAAAAAAAAAAUCCCAAACCCAAAUAUUUUUUUCUGUUUGUCUUUUUUUUCCUAACAAGAAUUGGUGAGCUAGUGCAGAGCGAGCUGAAGAGGGGCACCCAUCAAUCCACUUUUGUAUCAGUAAGGAGACGUUUAAUAGAGUAACCGUCUAGGCACGUGGGAGUCAGGAGACAGGAGCCAGCCCAGACCCCUCAUUCUCUGCAUGUGUAAACCUCCCCAAAGCCCUUUGGCAGGUGUGGACCAUUACGAAGGACUGCCUCUUCCGUCUGCUGUUUCUUCCCCAGGGCGGGGGAACUCUCCUCAGGGAGCCCUCCGGGCCUCUCUCUGCCCAUAGUCCCAAAUCCCUGGGGGAGGAAGGAGUCUUCCCUUCACCCCUAAUUCACCCUGCUCUGUGCCUGGAGGCCACCAGAGGGAUUACCUUAAUGAGAUCCCUUAUCCUCUGG